UGGGGAAUAUUGCACAAUGGGGGAAACCCUGAUGCAGCGACGCCGCGUGAGCGAAGAAGUAUUUCGGUAUGUAAAGCUCUAUCAGCAGGGAAGAUAAUGACGGUACCUGACUAAGAAGCCCCGGCUAACUACGUGCCAGCAGCCGCGGUAAUACGUAGGGGGCAAGCGUUAUCCGGAUUUACUGGGUGUAAAGGGAGCGUAGACGGCAAGGCAAGUCUGAUGUGAAAACCCAGGGCUUAACCCUGGGACUGCAUUGGAAACUGUCUGGCUCGAGUGCCGGAGAGGUAAGCGGAAUUCCUAGUGUAGCGGUGAAAUGCGUAGAUAUUAGGAAGAACACCAGUGGCGAAGGCGGAUUACUGGACGGUAACUGACGUUGAGGCUCGAAAGCGUGGGGAGCAAACAGG
This 404-nucleotide ribosomal RNA is filed under the name Acidobacteriota bacterium. Its description in RNAcentral is "Acidobacteria bacterium partial 16S ribosomal RNA". It matches the Rfam family "Bacterial small subunit ribosomal RNA", at positions 355 to 776 of the family's 1533-position model. The record is from RNAcentral. Lineage: Bacteria; Pseudomonadati; Acidobacteriota.